This 594-nucleotide ribosomal RNA is filed under the name uncultured Bacteroidota bacterium. RNAcentral's name for it is "bacterial SSU rRNA". It matches the Rfam family "Bacterial small subunit ribosomal RNA", at positions 122 to 715 of the family's 1533-position model. Lineage: Bacteria; Pseudomonadati; Bacteroidota. The record is from RNAcentral.
CAACCUGCCGACAACACUGGGAUAGCCUUUCGAAAGAAAGAUUAAUACCGGAUGGCAUAGUUUUCCCGCAUGGGAUAAUUAUUAAAGAAUUUCGGUUGUCGAUGGGGAUGCGUUCCAUUAGGCAGUUGGCGGGGUAACGGCCCACCAAACCAACGAUGGAUAGGGGUUCUGAGAGGAAGGUCCCCCACAUUGGAACUGAGACACGGUCCAAACUCCUACGGGAGGCAGCAGUGAGGAAUAUUGGUCAAUGGACGAGAGUCUGAACCAGCCAAGUAGCGUGAAGGAUGACUGCCCUAUGGGUUGUAAACUUCUUUUAUACGGGAAUAAAGUGAGCCACGUGUGGCUUUUUGUAUGUACCGUAUGAAUAAGGAUCGGCUAACUCCGUGCCAGCAGCCGCGGUAAUACGGAGGAUCCGAGCGUUAUCCGGAUUUAUUGGGUUUAAAGGGAGCGUAGGCGGGUUGUUAAGUCAGUUGUGAAAGUUUGCGGCUCAACCGUAAAAUUGCAGUUGAUACUGGCGACCUUGAGUGCAACAGAGGUAGGCGGAAUUCGUGGUGUAGCGGUGAAAUGCUUAGAUAUCACGAAGAACUCCGAUUG